CAGUCGCCGCGGGAAUACGUAGGGUGCGAGCGUUAAUCGGAAUUACUGGGCGUAAAGCGUGCGCAGGCGGUUCGUUAAGACAGAUGUGAAAUCCCCGGGCUUAACCUGGGAACUGCAUUUGUGACUGGCGAGCUAGAGUAUGGCAGAGGGGGGUAGAAUUCCACGUGUAGCAGUGAAAUGCGUAGAGAUGUGGAGGAAUACCGAUGGCGAAGGCAGCCCCCUGGGCCAAUACUGACGCUCAUGCACGAAAGCGUGGGGAGCAAACAGGAUUAGAUACCCCCGUAGUCCCUGUCUCUAUACC
This 301-nucleotide ribosomal RNA is filed under the name uncultured bacterium. RNAcentral's name for it is "partial 16S ribosomal RNA". It matches the Rfam family "Bacterial small subunit ribosomal RNA", at positions 509 to 808 of the family's 1533-position model. The record is from RNAcentral.